UACAGGGGGUGCAAACGUUGCUCGGAAUUACUGGGCGUAAAGGGCGCGUAGGCGGUCUUGUCAGUCCCUUGUGAAAUCCCCCGGCUCAACUGGGGAACUGCAAGGGAAACAGCAGGGCUUGAGUUCGGGAGAGGGAAGCGGAAUUCCGGGUGUAGCGGUGAAAUGCGUAGAUAUCCGGAGGAACACCGGUGGCGAAGGCGGCUUCCUGGACCGAUACUGACGCUGAGGCGCGAAAGCUAGGGGAGCAAACGGG
RNAcentral lists this ribosomal RNA (253 nucleotides) under uncultured bacterium. RNAcentral describes it as "partial 16S ribosomal RNA". It matches the Rfam family "Bacterial small subunit ribosomal RNA", at positions 524 to 776 of the family's 1533-position model. The record is from RNAcentral.